Molecule: transfer RNA, 71 nt
Filed under: Loxodonta africana (African savanna elephant)
Lineage: Eukaryota; Metazoa; Chordata; Mammalia; Proboscidea; Elephantidae
Rfam family: tRNA
About the family: Transfer RNA (tRNA) molecules are approximately 80 nucleotides in length.
Source: Rfam by way of RNAcentral
ACAGUGGUAGUUCAGUGGUGGAACUCUUGCCUUUCAUGUAGGAGACCUAGAUUCGAUUCUCAGCCAAUGUA